AUAUUGGCCAGAGACCGAUAGCGCACAAGUAGAGUGAUCGAAAGAUGAAAAGCACUUUGAAAAGAGAGUUAAACAGUAUGUGAAAUUGUUGAAAGGGAAGCGCAGGCAACCAGACUCGAGCGCGGGGUUCCCCCUUCCUUUUGGUUGGGCUACUUCCCCGUGACCGGGCCAUCAUCAGUUUCGGGGGCGGGUUAAAGGCCUUGGGAAUGUAUCUACCCCUUCGGGGGUAGACUUAUAGCCCUCGGUGUCAUGCCGCCUCCCGGGACUGAGGAACGCGCUUCGGCGAGGAUGAUGGCGUAAUGGUUGUCUGCGACCCGUCUUGAAACACGGACC
This 333-nucleotide ribosomal RNA is filed under the name uncultured fungus. RNAcentral's name for it is "LSU rRNA". It matches the Rfam family "Eukaryotic large subunit ribosomal RNA", at positions 320 to 667 of the family's 3401-position model. The record is from RNAcentral. Lineage: Eukaryota; Fungi.